AACAGGAGAGAGGAGAUGGUUAUAUCUCGACUUAGAUUCAGACACAUUGGUUUGAAUAGCACAUUAUUUUGCAGUAAGGAACAGGAGACAACACAUUUUAUUGCAUUGUCAGAAGUAUGAUAUUGAAAGAAGACAACUGAUCAAAAAGGCUGGACGAUAUGACAGUGAAACUGGACUUGAGUGAUUUAUUUCGUACAAACUACAUAAGUGAAAAUUGGUGGCUGUAAUGCACCAUUUUGCUGUGAAGAAGAAGGAGGAGGAGAAAAAGACGACGACAUCAUUUUGCAUUCCUUUCUCAUCCAAGGUGGCCCAGAGCGUGAAGCGGCUAAGCACUGCAGAGCGAUUUGAUGUCUUCAGGAAAACUGCUCAUUUUACUAUUGCAAAUGUUUAUGGACUGCCUUUGACUGGUCUUUUACUCUGAAUUGGUUGAUAUGUUUAUAAAGAACUCUACUGUAGGGUGUAUUUGUUUCAUUUGUCUUUUAGGGAUUUUUUUAAAUAUUUGGUUGUUUUGUUGCUUUAGUGGAGGUGCGGCCGCUUGUUGGAAAAAAUGGCGCAUGGCUGAACUUUUAAAAUCCCAGCCUGCUUCAAAAUGGCCACCAUCGUCCCUGUACCCAAA
Long non-coding RNA from Oreochromis aureus, 616 nucleotides. RefSeq lists it as uncharacterized. The record is from RefSeq and is a predicted model, not a curated record. The transcript has 3 exons. NCBI's taxonomy places the organism in Eukaryota, Metazoa, Chordata, Actinopteri, Cichliformes, Cichlidae.